RNAcentral lists this ribosomal RNA (497 nucleotides) under uncultured bacterium. RNAcentral describes it as "partial 16S ribosomal RNA". It matches the Rfam family "Bacterial small subunit ribosomal RNA", at positions 28 to 507 of the family's 1533-position model. The record is from RNAcentral.
GAUGAACGCUGGCGGCGUGCCUAAUACAUGCAAGUCGAGCGAACAGACGAGGAGCUUGCUCCUCUGACGUUAGCGGCGGACGUGUGAGUAACACGUGGAUAACCUACCUAUAAUACUUGGAUAACUUCGUGAAACCGUAUCUAAUACCGGAUAAUAUAUUUAACCGCAUGGUUCAAUAGUGAAAGACGGUUUUGCUGUCACUUAUAGAUUGAUCCGCGCCGCAUUAGCUAGUUGGUAAGGUAACGGCUUACCAAGGCGACGAUGCGUAGCCGACGUGAGAGGGUGAUCGGCCACACUGGAACUGAGACACGGUCCAGGCUACUACGGGAGGAAGCAGUAGGGAAUAUUACGCAAUGGGCGAAAGCUUGACGGAGCAAAGCCGCGUGAGUGAUGAAGGUCUUAGGAUCGUAAAACUCUGUUAUUAGGGAAGAAAAAAUGUGUAAGUAAAUAUGCACGUAUUGACGGUACCUAAUCAGAAAGCAACGGCUAACUACGUG